GAUUCUUUUGUUGAUCAAUUUUCACCCUUAAUUUUGCUUACCACAUAGAACCCACUUUCUUAGAAUGCAGGAGCCACUUCCAUUGGAAAUUAUCCCAGUUUCAUUUUUAGUUUUUGAGACUUUGUAGAUUUGCCAGUGGGGUCUCAACUCUUGAUGGAUAAAACAAUGGUCUUGUAGAUUUGCCCGUAAAGCUUCGGUAUUUUCACCGCCUCGGGUGUUUUCAACACCACCACCUUCUCCUUAUUAUCUGCCUUUACCGGAAGUGUUGCUUGUGGCUUUGUUCUGUCCCAGCAACAACAACAAAUCAACAAAAAAUGCAUUGAUAUCAUACUAACAAUUUGAUACUUUACAUCUUCAAGUAAAAAAAAGAAAAAAAAAGAUCAAAUAGCUACAAUAUUUCCCCAAGUAAACAAAAUUAUCAAUUAUAAACAUUGAACACUAACUAUUUCUCGAAUUGGAUAGGGGUACCGUUACUAUAUCUUAAGUAGAACACUACUAUUAUUAUUUCUUAAACUGAACACUAGCUCUAUCACUAUUUUUUAAACUGAGCACUGGUACUAUCACUAUUCUUAAAUUGAACACUAACUAUUUCGUAAACUGAGCACUGGUAUUAUCACUAUUUCUUAAACUGAAUACUCACUAUUUUGUAUACUGAACACGCGUAUUAUCAUUAUUUCUUAAACUUAACACUAAUAUUAUUACUAUUUCUUAAACUGAAUACUAAUUAUUUUUUAAGCUAAACACUAACUAUUUUUAGAAUUAAACACAUGUACUGUCACUAUUUCUUAAACUAAAUACUGAUUAUUUCUAGAACUGAAAAAUGACUAUUUAUUAAAUUGAAAACUUGCUCUAUCAUUAUUUCUUAAACUAAAUUCUAACCAUUUUUCAAAUUGAACAAGAGUACCAUCACUAUUUCUUAAAUUGCGCUAUCACUAAUUUUUAAACUAAACACUGACUAUUUCUUAAACGGAACACUAGUACUAUAAUUGUUUCGUAAACUAAACACUGACUAUUUCUUAAAUGGAACACUAGUACUAUCACUGUUUCGUAAACUAAACAUUGACUAUUUAUCAGACGAACACUAGUACUAUCAUUGUUUCGUAAACUAAACACUGACUAUUUCUUAAACAGAACACUAGUACUAUCACUGUUUCGUAAACUAAACAUUGACUAUUUAUCAAACGAACACUAGUACUAUCACUAUUUCGUAAACUAAACACUGACUAUUUAUCAAACGAACACUAGUACUAUCACUGUUUCGUAAACUAAACACUUAAUCAUUUCAUCUUCUUAAAAACUCACUUGAAAAAGAUAUGAGUAAAAUAUUGCAAAAGGCUAGAAAUAGUCAACAUAAUCAAAACUAGAAGACCCCAAAUAUGCAGAAAAUAAAUAGAGAAAUUUUUUUUUUAACAAAAAUGAUUAUAAUGAUUAUAAUGUCAAAACAAAAUAAAUGUGGGAGAGAGAGCAGUACAAACAUAAUCCUAUAAUUAAGUAUAGUUCAAUUUGGUUCUUCUAAUAAUCUGGAGAAGCAUCUCCCAAUCUCAUUGACAUUGCACAGCCCACAAAAACAAAACAGUAGAAAGCAUUGCCUGCCGGCGGUGGCAGCAGCCUCUAACCCACUAACGGUGCUAAAAAAGUGACGUUUAGUGCACGGAAUCCACCAAUGGUGACGGACCCAACCUAAAUUUUUAAGAACCAAUAAUUAUAACAAAAAAAUAUAUGAAAAAAUUAAGUUAACUACCAUAAACAAAGAAAAAAACAGAAUAAUAAUUCUGGAAUUUGUCCAAUAUUUAGCAGCAGAUUUUCAAGAUUUCAAGCAAUAUAUUUCGCACCCAAAUGCUAAUAACCAAUUAAUAAUCCAAUUUAUCUUUUGCGGGCAAAGAUAUGGAAGGAAAAAAGAAAAUUGUAUUGUAAUUUGUUUCUGGGAAAUACAAAUCCACAUUUUUUCACAAAUUCGAAACCAAUGUUAGAGGUACCUCUUGGAGUCCAUCUUUAAGCCAUCUCUGAUGA
Molecule: long non-coding RNA, 2010 nt
Filed under: Malus domestica (apple)
Lineage: Eukaryota; Viridiplantae; Streptophyta; Magnoliopsida; Rosales; Rosaceae
Description: long non-coding RNA (MDOM_LNC009933)
Source: RNAcentral